AUGGGAGUGGCCAAGAUCCAAGUUGAUGGUGGGCUAGCUAGAAACGGAAGGAGCGGGGCAGCUGCAGCGGUGUGUCGUGAUCAUUCAGGAUUUUAUUUGGGUGCUUCCGCUAUGAUCUUUAGGGACAUAGCAAAACCAGCGGCGUUGGAGGCACUGGCCUGCCGCGAGGCAUUGGCAUUACCACUCGACCUAUCACUUCACCGCAUCGUUAUUGCAUGUGACUGCAAAGGAGUUGUAGCAGAGAUAAAGAAUGGAUCGGAGGGAAGGCACGGUGCUAUCAUCAAGGAAAUUUGUGCUCGAGCGAGAGACUUUAUUAGCUGCAAUUUUAUUUUUGAAGGACGCAGUAUGAACUUUGAGUAA
This 360-nucleotide ribosomal RNA is filed under the name Triticum aestivum (bread wheat). RNAcentral describes it as "partial small subunit ribosomal RNA". Lineage: Eukaryota; Viridiplantae; Streptophyta; Magnoliopsida; Poales; Poaceae. The record is from RNAcentral.